CCUACGGGAGGCAGCAGUGGGGAAUAUUGGACAAUGGGGGGAACCCUGAUCCAGCCAUGCCGCGUGUGUGAAGAAGGCCCUCGGGUUGUAAAGCACUUUCAGUGAGGAAGAACGCCUGGUGGUUAAUACCCAUCAGGAAAGACAUCACUCACAGAAGAAGCACCGGCUAACUCCGUGCCAGCAGCCGCGGUAAUACGGAGGGUGCGAGCGUUAAUCGGAAUUACUGGGCGUAAAGCGCGCGUAGGUGGCUUGAUAAGCCGGUUGUGAAAGCCCCGGGCUCAACCUGGGAACGGCAUCCGGAACUGUCAAGCUAGAGUGCAGGAGAGGAAGGUAGAAUUCCCGGUGUAGCAGUGAAAUGCGUAGAGAUCGGGAGGAAUACCAGUGGCGAAGGCGGCCUUCUGGACUGACACUGACACUGAGGUGCGAAAGCGUGAGUAGCAAACAGGAUUAGAUACCCCUGUAGUC
Molecule: ribosomal RNA, 465 nt
Filed under: Vreelandella stevensii
Lineage: Bacteria; Pseudomonadati; Pseudomonadota; Gammaproteobacteria; Oceanospirillales; Halomonadaceae
Description: partial 16S ribosomal RNA
Rfam family: Bacterial small subunit ribosomal RNA
Source: RNAcentral